UAGGGAUUUGAGUUUGAGGUUCAAAAUUUUAUAAAAUAGAAAAUAAAUAUUAAAAAUUUUUAAAAUAGUUUCAAAAAGUAUUUUCGAAUUACAAAAAGAAAAUUUCAAAAAAAAAAAUUUCAAAAUUUUUUUUAAAAAAAAAGAUAUUUAUAAAAAAUUUCGAAUUUGAAAACAUAUAAUCUAAAACUAUAUAAAAAAAAAUUAUUUUUUAUUUUUUUAUUUUUUUUUAUUUUUUAUAUAUCUAGGGUAUUAGUGUCCUUUUACCUAUUAAAUGAAACAUUUUGGUCAUUUUCCUCAUUGUGGUCUAUUUUGUGACCAAAACAUAAAAAUUAUCUAUUUAUGAGAAUUGUCCUAUUAUAUUUACUUUAUUAAUAAUAAAAUAAUAUAUAUGUUUAUAUAAUAUUUGGUUAGUAAUA
RNAcentral lists this long non-coding RNA (416 nucleotides) under Brassica rapa (field mustard). Its description in RNAcentral is "long non-coding RNA (BRAP_LNC003090)". The record is from RNAcentral. Lineage: Eukaryota; Viridiplantae; Streptophyta; Magnoliopsida; Brassicales; Brassicaceae.